UACAGAGGUGGCAAGCGUUGUUCGGAAUUACUGGGCGUAAAGGGCGCGUAGGCGGUUCGUUAAGUCCUGUGUGAAAUCCCCCGGCUCAACUGGGGAACUGCACAGGAAACUAGCGGGCUUGAGUUCGGGAGAGGGAAGCGGAAUUCCGGGUGUAGCGGUGAAAUGCGUAGAUAUCCGGAGGAACACCGGUGGCGAAGGCGGCUUCCUGGACCGACACUGACGCUGAGGCGCGAAAGCUAGGGGAGCAAACGGGAUUAGAUACCCCGGUAGUCCUAGCUGUAAACGAUGAGUGCUGGGUGUAGGGGGUAUUAACCCCCCCUGUGCCGAAGCUAACGCAUUAAGCACUCCGCCUGGGGAGUACGGUCGCAAGGCUGAA
Molecule: ribosomal RNA, 376 nt
Filed under: uncultured bacterium
Lineage: Bacteria
Description: bacterial SSU rRNA
Rfam family: Bacterial small subunit ribosomal RNA
Source: RNAcentral